GAUGAACGCUAGCUACAGGCUUAACACAUGCAAGUCGAGGGGCAGCAUGGUCUUAGCUUGCUAAGGCUGAUGGCGACCGGCGCACGGGUGAGUAACACGUAUCCAACCUGCCGUCUACUCUUGGCCAGCCUUCUGAAAGGAAGAUUAAUCCAGGAUGGCAUCAUGAGUUCACAUGUCCGCAUGAUUAAAGGUAUUUUCCGGUAGACGAUGGGGAUGCGUUCCAUUAGAUAGUAGGCGGGGUAACGGCCCACCUAGUCAACGAUGGAUAGGGGUUCUGAGAGGAAGGUCCCCCACAUUGGAACUGAGACACGGUCCAAACUCCUACGGGAGGCAGCAGUGAGGAAUAUUGGUCAAUGGGCGAUGGCCUGAACCAGCCAAGUAGCGUGAAGGAUGACUGCCCUAUGGGUUGUAAACUUCUUUUAUAAAGGAAUAAAGUCGGGUAUGCAUACCCGUUUGCAUUACU
This 463-nucleotide ribosomal RNA is filed under the name uncultured bacterium. RNAcentral describes it as "bacterial SSU rRNA". It matches the Rfam family "Bacterial small subunit ribosomal RNA", at positions 28 to 479 of the family's 1533-position model. The record is from RNAcentral.